Molecule: ribosomal RNA, 391 nt
Filed under: uncultured bacterium
Lineage: Bacteria
Description: bacterial SSU rRNA
Rfam family: Bacterial small subunit ribosomal RNA
Source: RNAcentral
AUUGAACGUUGGCGGCAGGCCUAAUACAUGCAAGUCGAACGGCAGCACAGAGAGCUUGCUCUUGGGUGGCGAGUGGCGGACGGGUGAGUAACGCGUAGGAAUCUACCCAGUAGCGGGGGAUAGCCCGGGGAAACCCGGAUUAAUACCGCAUACGCCCCACGGGGGAAAGGCCGGGAUCUUCGGACCGGUCACUAUUGGAGGAGCCUGCGUUGGAUUAGCUUGUUGGUGGGGUAAAGGCCUACCAAGGCUGCGAUCCAUAGCUGGUCUGAGAGGACGAUCAGCCACACUGGAACUGAGACACGGUCCAGACUCCUACGGGAGGCAGCAGUAGGGAAUAUUGGACAAUGGGGCGAACCCUGAUCCAGCCAUGCCGCGUGUGUGAAGAAGGCCU